RNAcentral lists this ribosomal RNA (1092 nucleotides) under Diplocirrus glaucus. RNAcentral describes it as "bacterial SSU rRNA". It matches the Rfam family "Eukaryotic small subunit ribosomal RNA", at positions 21 to 1007 of the family's 1831-position model. The record is from RNAcentral. Lineage: Eukaryota; Metazoa; Annelida; Polychaeta; Terebellida; Flabelligeridae.
AGUCAUAUGCUUGUCUCAAAGAUUAAGCCAUGCACGUCUAAGUACAGGCCACCACGAUGGUCGAAACUGCGAACGGCUCAUUAAAUCAGUCAUGGUUCAUUGGAUCGUACUAUCCUACUUGGAUAACUGUGGUAAUUCUAGAGCUAAUACAUGCAACGCAAGCUCCGACCCCUUCGCAGGGGGAAGAGCGCUCUUAUUAGAUCAAGACCAAUACGGGUGCUCGCACCCGUCCUCACUCUGGUGACUCUGGAUAACACGGUAGCCGAUCGCACGGCCGUCGAGCCGGCGACGCUUCUUUCAAAUGUCUGCCUUAUCAACUGUCGAUGGCAGGUGACCUGCCUGCCAUGGUAUUGACGGGUAACGGGGAAUCAGGGUUCGAUUCCGGAGAGGGAGCCUGAGAAACGGCUACCACAUCCAAGGAAGGCAGCAGGCGCGCAAAUUACCCACUCCCGACACGUGGAGGUAGUGACGAAAAAUAACGAUGCGGGACUCUUUGGAGGCCCCGUAAUCGGAAUGAGUGCAAUCUAAAUCCUUGGACGAGGAUCUAUUGGAGGGCAAGUCUGGUGCCAGCAGCCGCGGUAAUUCCAGCUCCAAUAGCGUAUAUUAAAGUUGCUGCGUUUAAAACGCUCGUAGUUGGAUCUCGGGUGCGGGACGGUUGGUGUCGCCCACAGUGGCGUCCACUGCCGUCGCCCCGUCGACGUCGUCGUCGUACUGGCCCGGCCGUUAACUCGGUCGCGGUUGGGGCGGGGGCGGCUCGGGGGGCGAUUUCUUCCCCACCUAGCUCUGCCGGCGUCUCCUCGCGGUGCUCUUGACUGAGUUGCCCGGGGCGGCCGGACACGUUUACUUUGAGAAAACAGGAGUGCUCAAAGCAGGCAGUUCUCGUUGGCCAAUGAACGAGUUGUGCAUSGAAUAAUGGAAUAGGACCUCGGUUCUGUUGUGUUGGUUUUCGGAAUGCCGAGGUAAUGAUUAAGAGGGACAGACGGGGGCAUUCGUAUUGCGUCGGGAGAGGUGAAAUUCUUAGAUCGCCGCAAGACGAACCACUGCGAAAGCAUUUGCCAAGAAUGUUUUCUAGUCAAGAACGAAAGUCAGAGG